CGAGGGGCAGCAGGUCCCGCAGCAAUGCGGGAUGCUGGCGACCGGCAAACGGGUGCGGAACACGUACACAACCUUCCUUUAAGCGGGGAAUAGCCCGGGGAAACCCGGAUUAAUACCCCAUAGUAUAUUGAAAAGGCAUCUUUUUAAUAUUAAAGAUUUAUCACUUGAAGAUGGGUGUGCGGCUGAUUAGGUAGUUGGCGGGGUAACGGCCCACCAAGCCUACGAUCAGUAACUGGUGUGAGAGCACGACCAGUCACACGGGCACUGAGACACGGGCCCGACUCCUACGGGAGGCAGCAGUAAGGAAUAUUGGUCAAUGGACGAAAGUCUGAACCAGCCAUGCCGCGUGGAGGAUGAAGGUCCUCUGGAUUGUAAACUUCUUUUAUAUGGGACGAAAAAAGGCUUUUCUAAGUCGUCUGACGGUACCAUAUGAAUAAGCACCGGCUAACUCCGUGCCAGCAGCCGCGGUAAUACGGAGGGUGCAAGCGUUAUCCGGAUUCACUGGGUUUAAAGGGUGCGUAGGUGGGUUGGUAAGUCAGUGGUGAAAUCCCCGAGCUUAACUUGGGAACUGCCAUUGAUACUAUCAGUCUUGAAUGACCGUGGAGGUCAGCGGAAUAUGUCAUGUAGCGGUGAAAUGCUUAGAUAUGACAUAGAACACCAAUUGCGAAGGCAGCUGGCUACACGAAUAUUGACACUGAGGCACGAAAGCGUGGGGAUCAAACAGGAUUAGAUACCCUGGUAGUCCACGCCCUAAACUAUGGAUACUCGACAUACGCGAUACACUGUGUGUGUCUGAGCGAAAGCAUUAAGU
RNAcentral lists this ribosomal RNA (811 nucleotides) under uncultured Sphingobacteriales bacterium. RNAcentral describes it as "bacterial SSU rRNA". It matches the Rfam family "Bacterial small subunit ribosomal RNA", at positions 63 to 865 of the family's 1533-position model. The record is from RNAcentral. Lineage: Bacteria; Pseudomonadati; Bacteroidota; Sphingobacteriia; Sphingobacteriales.